This 253-nucleotide ribosomal RNA is filed under the name uncultured bacterium. RNAcentral describes it as "partial 16S ribosomal RNA". It matches the Rfam family "Bacterial small subunit ribosomal RNA", at positions 524 to 777 of the family's 1533-position model. The record is from RNAcentral.
GACGAACCGUGCGAACGUUGUUCGGAAUCACUGGGCUUAAAGGGUGCGUAGGCGGGCUCGUCAGUCGGGGGUGAAAUCCUGGAGCUCAACUCCAGAACUGCCUUCGAUACUGGAAGACUCGAGUCCGGGAGAGGUGAGUGGAACUGCGAGUGUAGAGGUGAAAUUCGUAGAUAUUCGCAAGAACACCAGUGGCGAAGGCGGCUCACUGGCCCGGUACUGACGCUGAGGUGCGAAAGCGUGGGAGCAAACAGGG